Molecule: ribosomal RNA, 478 nt
Filed under: uncultured bacterium
Lineage: Bacteria
Description: partial 16S ribosomal RNA
Rfam family: Bacterial small subunit ribosomal RNA
Source: RNAcentral
GACGAACGCUGGCGGCGUGCUUAACACAUGCUAGUCGAACGGUAAGGCCCUUCGGGGUACACGAGUGGCGAACGGGUGAGUAACACGUGGGUGAUCUGCCCUGCACUUCGGGAUAAGCCUGGGAAACUGGGUCUAAUACCGGAUAGGACCCUGGGAUGCAUGUCCUGGGGUGGAAAGCUUUUGCGGUGUGAGAUGGGCCCGCGGCCUAUCAGCUUGUUGGUGGGGUGAUGGCCUACCAAGGCGACGACGGGUAGCCGGCCUGAGAGGGUGACCGGCCACACUGGGACUGAGAUACGGCCCAGACUCCUACGGGAGGCAGCAGUGGGGAAUAUUGCACAAUGGGCGCAAGCCUGAUGCAGCGACGCCGCGUGAGGGAUGACGGCCUUCGGGUUGUAAACCUCUUUCAGCACCGACGAAGCGCAAGUGACGGUAGGUGCAGAAGAAGGACCGGCCAACUACGUGCCAGCAGCCGCAGUAA